Saccostrea cuccullata (small rock oyster) is the source of this 249-nucleotide long non-coding RNA. RefSeq lists it as uncharacterized. The record is from RefSeq and is a predicted model, not a curated record. Lineage: Eukaryota; Metazoa; Mollusca; Bivalvia; Ostreida; Ostreidae. The transcript has 2 exons.
AAAAACCAUAGAAACAUUGAAUAUAAGGAAGACUGCAUCGUAUACUUUAAAUUUCCGCAGUAAUAUUGCAGAAAUGGCUACGACCAAAAACGGACGACUGGAUUUUAUAUCUGAUUCCAGUGAAGAUAAUUUCAAGUUACACUUAUGACCAUCAUCAAAGAUUAAUGAAUGUAUUCCCUCAGAUAUCAAGGAGUGAAAAACAGAUUGAUUCUGAAAAAGAAUGCAUUAAAAUAAAAUUACUAUCAAUGA